Molecule: ribosomal RNA, 794 nt
Filed under: Thermoleophilia bacterium
Lineage: Bacteria; Bacillati; Actinomycetota; Thermoleophilia
Description: bacterial SSU rRNA
Rfam family: Bacterial small subunit ribosomal RNA
Source: RNAcentral
GGAGAGUUUGAUCCUGGCUCAGGACGAACGCUGGCGGCGCGCUUAACACAUGCAAGUCGAGCGAGAACCAGGACUUCGGUCCCGGGGACAGCGGCGAACGGGUGAGUAACACGUGGGUAAUCUGCCCUCGAUUCUGGGAUAGCCCGGGGAAACUCGGAUUAAUACCGGAUAGCCUUUCGAGCUUUCGGGCUUGAAAGAAAAGGUAGCUUCGGCCUCCGAUCGAGGAUGAGCCCGCGGUGGAUUAGCUUGUUGGCGGGGUAAUGGCCCACCAAGGCGACGAUCCAUAGCUGGUCUGAGAGGACGAUCAGCCACACUGGGACUGAGACACGGCCCAGACUCCUACGGGAGGCAGCAGUGGGGAAUCUUGCGCAAUGGGCGAAAGCCUGACGCAGCGACGCCGCGUGGGGGAAGAAGGCCUUAGGGUUGUAAACCUCUUUCAGGUGGGACGAAGCCACUCGGGUUAAUAGCCCAGAGGGUGACGGUACCGCCAGAAGAAGCCCCGGCUAACUACGUGCCAGCAGCCGCGGUAAUACGUAGGGGGCAAGCGUUGUCCGGAUUUAUUGGGCGUAAAGAGCGUGUAGGCGGCCAGGUAGGUGGGUUGUGAAAACUGGAGGCUCAACCUUCAGACGUCGACCCAAACCCCCUGGCUAGAGUCCGGAAGAGGAGAGUGGAAUUCCUGGUGUAGCGGUGAAAUGCGCAGAUAUCAGGAAGAACACCCGUGGCGAAGGCGGCUCUCUGGGACGGUACUGACGCUGAGACGCGAAAGCGUGGGGAGCGAACAGGAUUAGAUACCC